This 234-nucleotide ribosomal RNA is filed under the name uncultured bacterium. RNAcentral describes it as "partial 16S ribosomal RNA". It matches the Rfam family "Bacterial small subunit ribosomal RNA", at positions 118 to 347 of the family's 1533-position model. The record is from RNAcentral.
UGAGUAACCUGCCCUUGACUCUGGAAUAACAGCUGGAAACAGCUGCUAAUACCGGAUACGACCUCCGAUGGCAUCAUCUGGAGGUGGAAAGCUCCGACGGUGAAGGAUGGGGCUCGCGGCCUAUCAGCUUGUUGGUGAGGUGACGGCUCACCAAGGCUUCGGACGGGUAGCCGGCCUGAGAGGGCGACCGGCCACACGUGGGACUGAGAUACCGGCCCAGACCUCGUACGGGGA